GACGAACGCUGGCGGCGUGCUUAACACAUGCAAGUCAGGGGGCGGGGUAACCCGUCACCGGCGACCGGGUGCGGAACACGUGAGCGACCUGCCCGGGUGUGGGGGAUAGCCGGCCCAACGGCCGGGUAAUACCGCAUACGGCGCCCGCUUGGAAGCGGGAGGCGAAACUCGCAAGAGGCGCUAGGAGGGGCUCGCGGCCUAUCAGCUAGUUGGUGCGGUAACGGCGCACCAAGGCGAUGACGGGUAGCUGGUGUGAGAGGAUGGCCAGCCACAUUGGGACUGAGAGACGGCCCAGACUCCUACGGGAUGCAGCAGUGGGGAAUAUUGAGCGAUGGGCGAAAGCCUGACGCAGCGACGCUGCGUGGAGGAUGAGGCCCUUCGGGGUGUAAACUCCUGUGGCCAGGGACGAAUGCCCAGCAACGGCGGGGUUGACGGUACCGGGUGAGGAAGCACCGGCUAACUCUGUG
RNAcentral lists this ribosomal RNA (467 nucleotides) under uncultured bacterium. RNAcentral's name for it is "partial 16S ribosomal RNA". It matches the Rfam family "Bacterial small subunit ribosomal RNA", at positions 28 to 507 of the family's 1533-position model. The record is from RNAcentral.